UAUGCCCUACGGGAGGCAGCAGUGGGGAAUUUUGCGCAAUGGGCGAAAGCCUGACGCAGCAACGCCGCGUGCGGGAUGACGGCCUUCGGGUUGUAAACCGCUUUCAGUGGGAAAGAUUAUGACGGUACCCACACAAGAAGCUCCGGCUAAAUACGUGCCAGCAGCCGCGGCAAUACGUAUGGAGCAAGCGUUAUCCGGAUUUAUUGGGCGUAAAGCGCGCGUAGGCGGCUUGUUAAGCAAGGUCUUAAAUCUUGGGGCUCAACCUCAAGCCGGAUCUUGAACUGGCAGGCUCGAGUAUGGUAGAG
Molecule: ribosomal RNA, 305 nt
Filed under: uncultured bacterium
Lineage: Bacteria
Description: bacterial SSU rRNA
Rfam family: Bacterial small subunit ribosomal RNA
Source: RNAcentral